RNAcentral lists this long non-coding RNA (325 nucleotides) under Saimiri boliviensis boliviensis (Bolivian squirrel monkey). Its description in RNAcentral is "lncRNA (ENSSBOG00000036645.1)". The record is from RNAcentral. Lineage: Eukaryota; Metazoa; Chordata; Mammalia; Primates; Cebidae.
CCAGGGUGGGAGAAGGAGUGUUCACUGAAGAAAUCUGUAUGAUGGACUAGUGAAGGCAACUGGCCCGAACUACCGCUGCUGAGCCAUCUGGUUGCACCUUCAGGGAUGUUCAUGCACUGAGAAGUAUUAGUCUAGGCUACCGAAUGAGAUGCAUGAAAGAAGUCUGUGACCUGGCGCAGAACAGACCAGUGAAGCGUAUGCUGGAUUGGAAGAACCAUCUUUGGCCUGAAGACUUUGUACAGGUCUGUGCUAAGUAAUGGGAAUUACGAGAUGUUGAAGACCCAGUCUCCCAUCUUGAGAAGUCUUGAAUUGAGUAAAGGCUGCC